GAAGAAUCCGUAUCUGAGUGGAUCGGCCACUGUGCAAGACGAGAAGCACGACGAAACUGAGUGGGAGAUGAGGCCCUGCGGCAUGCUUGUCCAGAAGCGAGAAGAUGACAAUGGCGCCGAUGUUUCUUCUAGCGGCCCCAUGAUCGCCGUCAGUGUUACUCAUGGCCAUGGCCCUACCAAGUACAAGAUUUUCCUUCCUGCUCAAUCGACUUUUGGUGAUAUGAAAAAGCACCUUGUGGCGAAGACCGGUUUGCAGCCUGAAGAACAGAGACUCCUAUUUCGGGGUAAGGAGAAGGA
RNAcentral lists this unclassified non-coding RNA (297 nucleotides) under Hevea brasiliensis (rubber tree). Lineage: Eukaryota; Viridiplantae; Streptophyta; Magnoliopsida; Malpighiales; Euphorbiaceae. The record is from RNAcentral.